Pelobates cultripes (western spadefoot toad) is the source of this 217-nucleotide non-coding RNA. The record is from the annotation of a GenBank genome assembly. NCBI's taxonomy places the organism in Eukaryota, Metazoa, Chordata, Amphibia, Anura, Pelobatidae.
GCUUGUAUAGCAUAUCAAUAAAAUUGGAGUGUCUUCAUUACCUACUGCAGUGUAUCUUCUUCUUUGUGUAUUUGUCUUACGAUACUGGUUUGUGGGACCAGGGCCACUAUUCUUGCAUGCCAAUAUACAGGAGCAUUGAUAGGGGGUGCUUGUCCUUUAUAGCCCUGGAUCUUUUUGUCUCUACUUGACCAUUUUCAAUCUCUUCAGUGAGUAUAGG